Molecule: long non-coding RNA, 489 nt
Organism: Lutra lutra (Eurasian river otter)
Lineage: Eukaryota; Metazoa; Chordata; Mammalia; Carnivora; Mustelidae
Exons: 2
Source: RefSeq, a predicted model, not a curated record
AGGGCCCGGGCUCCCCUCUGCAGAGUGUGUGGGUGCAGAAUGGAGUGGAGGGACAGGGUGGCUGCUGGACUGGCAGUGGUCCUGUCCUGUCCCCCUAUCCAGACUGUCUUUCCUGAAACAGCCUAAGACGUCUUGGGAAGAAACGGAGUUGAGAGCGGAACGUACUUUGUGUUCAGUGUAAUGUGUUUUGUAAACGCUUUCUCCGAUUCCUCAUGGCUUCGGCUUGGCCAGUGGGGCUCAGCUCCUAGCGGGCCACUUGAGCAGCGUAGGUCAUCCAGGAUGCGUGGUGGCCAGCCCGUGUCCCCUGGAGGGUGGCCUCCACACAGGACGGGUGUCGCAGCUGUCGCCGCAGAGCAGGGUGUGUGUCCCCGCCUGCCCCGGUCUUCCUGCCACUGCGAUCGUUCUAGGAAGCCUGUCUCUGAUGGUUGACAUCGUUCCGCCUGUUCUGUCCUCUCUUCUGCCUGGCCGUUGUGGAAGUCCAUGACCCGG